GAAAGUUCGCUGCUGCGAUAUACGUUUGUUUUUCUCUAUGGAUGUUGUUUAUUAUUGAUUGUUAGUGUUAUUUUGCAGUUUUGACCGUCAUUGUGUGCUUUUAUAAACAGUUUUAUUAUAAUUUCCUUUUGUUUUUUAUCUUGGCGUGAACAACUGGUGCUAGUCCAGCACAGCUCGGUUGAACAUUGUUUUUAUUUUCACAUUUAGGGCUGGAGUGCAGGGAGAGGGAGUUGGAGCGGAGGUUUAUUUGUUUUUACUCUUCUCCCCCAGAAUAAAAAAAAAUCUCAACGAAACCUGACUGAAUGACCUCUGGAAAUUCAUUGAUGCCACCCGUUACAGAAGCCAAUGAAACAUUUCAACGUGUGUGCUAUUAAUUUGCCUACUUUACUUGAAAUAUAUGAAAACUAACUGUAAAUGAAAAUUAAUCAACAUGCCUGUUGUCGUCAUAUACUUCCACAGCCUCAGCCUAAACCAGCUCUCUGAUCGAACAGGCUGUCUUUUUAAGCUGGUAUGUCAAAAAGAACUUGUCCAUCAAUAAAUGGCUCCUGUCCAAACGCCA
Molecule: long non-coding RNA, 559 nt
Organism: Xiphophorus couchianus (Monterrey platyfish)
Lineage: Eukaryota; Metazoa; Chordata; Actinopteri; Cyprinodontiformes; Poeciliidae
Exons: 2
Source: RefSeq, a predicted model, not a curated record